RNAcentral lists this long non-coding RNA (1144 nucleotides) under Capra hircus (goat). RNAcentral describes it as "lncRNA (ENSCHIG00010028939.1)". The record is from RNAcentral. Lineage: Eukaryota; Metazoa; Chordata; Mammalia; Artiodactyla; Bovidae.
AUGGCCCACUGGCAACUGGCAGCUGUGCCAUCAGCACAGGCACCUCGGGGCGGGAGGCCCUGGGGCAGCAGCCCCCAGCAGCUGAGCUCAUCUCCUGGCUUCAGUGAGUUCUUCCUCCCUGGGUUCACCCCCAACACAUACACAGCGGGCAGGAAGGUCCUCUGCAAAACUCGUGAGAUACCAGACUUUCCCCAUUGUUUGGAAGCAGUCAGCCAUGAGCGAUGGGGUGUCAUGGGAGGGGACGUGGCCUCGCCGGCCCAUUAUUAGAGAGUUGGUCACACCUCCAGGAACGACAGCCCUUCUUGGCCCUUGUGGACGGCUAGACUGGCCCCAAGGGAAAGGAACUUGGCUCAGGGAAAGGCAGAGUUAGGGAGCCUACGCUGAAUGCUGCUAAGUCUUCCCACCGGGGUCCCUCUCCCCCACUGCCCCCAAGCUGGGGACACUCUACAGCACUUUUCUCUCUUCAUAAAUUUGUCCCCCCUCAGAAGCCUCCCAGUGGCUUCCUAACAGAAUGGAUUCCAAACUGCACCCCUGGAUUAAAGUCACUCAAACCUGGUCCCACGUGACCAUCCCAACAUGUCCACCACCACUCGGCACAGACAUCGUCUCGGCUGGCACCCCGCCUCACCCCACAGUCCAAGCCAAUGCUCGGGUGAACCCCACACUCUGGCUGUCACCCCAGUCAUUCCACGUGUGAAUUUUGCUCCCCUGGCCCCCAUGCCUGUCCACGCUACCCCAUUCUCUUAGCCAAGUGUGAAGACCCAACUCUUCCAAGAAAUGGUCCCCAACCACCCCCAGCUGACACUCAUCUGCCUCUGCCCUGAAACGCUCUGGUUCUCAUGGGAAGAACUUCAAGAUCCAAUGUAGGGCCACGCUUGAAAGUGACAGUGUUAGUCACUCAGUCCUGUCCGACUCUUUGUGACCCCACAGACUGCAGCCUGCCAAGCUCCAGUGUCCAUAGAAUUCUCCAGGCGAGAAUACUGAAGUGGGUUGUCAUUCUCUUCUCCAGGGGAUCUGCCCAACGCAGGGAUUGAACCCGGGUCUCCCACAUUGCAAGCGGAUUCGUGACCGUCUGAGCCCCCAGGAAGCCCGGUAGCCCAUGCUUAGUAAUUAUAUGAUUCCCACGAGGCUGUCAGCUUUGUUA